CAGUCUAUGUGGUCCCAAAGAGUUGGACACGACUGAGCAGCUCAAACACAUACACACUGAUGUUUAGCAUAUUUUUAUAGUCAUGUAUAAAAAUAUGUAUUUUAUGCAUAAAAAUAUGCAUGUAUAUGCAGCCUUAACUGACAUUAACUGAAAAUUUUAAGAAAUACAUGCUAGAUUAUUCGUAAGAUGCAACCUACUCUGAAAAUGAAUCUGUACAUUUUCACAAAUGCAUUGUAUGCUUUAAAAAAAAAAAUGGAGUGAGACAGCAGUAGCUUCCCUUGGGUCUCCAUCUGGAGCUGUGUUUGGUGUUUUUAACAGGAUGGUUUUAACAGGAUGCUUGCCUACACCAUCUGUAUUCUGUCGUGUGCCUACAUAGGUUGGAUAGCAGUAAGGCCAGAGUUUAAGGACUGUACCUCUGAUGCUAUACACCUCAAGGGACAGUUCUGACAUUGUACAAUCUGCAGAAAAAGAAAAAAAGAUAGUUGUAUGAAGCGGACCUGUUCACAUUAAAGAUGAACUAUAUAGAAUGUACUGUGUACAUCACAUUGCAUUUUAUUAAAUAUCACUGUAAUAAAGCCCCCUCACCCUUUUCAACCUACCAAGGACCAUGCCUCUUUUUAUGAAUUGUUUGUAAACACAUUUUAUUUUUAAGUAGGGUAUGUACAUGUGUGUUAUCUGUGAUUCAAACAUACCUAAAAAGGAGUUCUGUUACAUUCAGGAUUCUCCUGAAUGUAACAUACAUUUCUCCCACUAGUAUUUGUUAUUGAGACCAGAUGGCAUUUCUUAUUUAGAAUCUAAAGAGCAGCUUAGCAGUUGGUGUAAGAGAAAAUGGCAGAAAGUCAAUGUCUCCAAAAUACACUGGCUUAAAUGAAAGAGAAAUGAGUAAGUGGCUGUGCUUCAGGUAGUCAGCCAAGCACCCAACUGGGGAACACUCCAUGGCUUCCGUCUCUGGGUCUAAGGUGAUUGCUCAGGUUGUCAUCCUUACACAGCAAUGAGAAGAGAGUGAAGAGCACGCAGCUACCCUGCUGAAAAGAAGGGAAAAGCUGGAAGUUGCCCGCAUCACAGUGCCCAGUGGGCAACAGUUCGAUGGCCACACCCCACCAUGGGGAAGCUGGAGGAUGUAGAUGGAAAUGCAGAGUCAGAUGUUUAUUACUUAAGGGAAGAAACAGUGAAAGAAAUCUGGAAAACAGCCGAGAAGCGCAGCACAGACGCAAUCCUGGGUGCUUGUGCUUGAUCACUCACUCUCUGCAGGCUGGAAAUCAUGCUGCUUUCCUGCAGGUGACUAACUUGGAGCUCCAGUGGGGCCAGACGUGGCAGACCUCUCACUGCUUCAGAGCAGGCACCCCGUGCUCCAGCUGAGGCAAGCUGUUUUGUAGACGGCCUCUGCUCAUUUACCCUGGCUUCCCUCCCACCUGGCUGUGUCUUGUGGAGCAACGAUCAUUUCCAUUCUUUCUCAGACUGCUCCAUUUUCUCUUGGCUGCUCUCCUCCUCCCCGAGGGAUUGUUUUCUCUCAAAUGUCAGCGUAAUGGUUAAACAAUAAAAACAAGACUUCGGGCCGGUGUGAGCCCAGCAGCA
This is a non-coding RNA of Odocoileus virginianus texanus, 1575 nucleotides long. Lineage: Eukaryota; Metazoa; Chordata; Mammalia; Artiodactyla; Cervidae. The record is from RefSeq and is a predicted model, not a curated record.